This 810-nucleotide non-coding RNA is filed under the name Neocapritermes araguaia. The record is from RNAcentral. Lineage: Eukaryota; Metazoa; Arthropoda; Insecta; Blattodea; Termitidae.
GUAAAGUUUUAUUCUUGCUUUUUCGUUCAGUAUUUGCUUGUUCUAUAUGUAAGUUUGUGCGUGAAUUUCCUUUUAAUUCUAGAUGGGUUUAUAAGGUUUUAUGUUUAUUUUUCUCAUUAGUUGUUAUUAGUUAGUCAAGUGUCCUUGUAUCUAGUAAUUCAUGUUUAAGUUUCGGUUAAAUUUUGUGCCAGCAGCCGCGGUUAUACCUUGGAGGCUUUUGAAUGUGUUUGGCGUUGUAUAGUUAUAUUUUAUUUUGUGAUUUUGUUUUGGUGAUUAUUAGGUGAAAUUUUUAUUGUUAUUAUUUGUCUUUUUUUGUUUUGGAGGCUAUGAAAUUCUUUUUGUAAACUAGGAUUAGAUACCCUAUUAUUUUGGAAUGUUAAUUGUUUUAUGUGCUUGAGUAGUAUUAGUUAUGUUCUUGAAACUUAAAGAAUUUGGCGGUAUCUCAUUCCUUCCAGAGGAAUCUGUCUCGUUAUCGAUAGUCCGCGUUGGACCUUACUUAGGAUUAUAUUGGUUUGUAUACCGCCGUUUAUUGAUUAUCUUUUUAGAGUGUUUAAUUUUCUGGUUUCUUUAUUUUGAUUUAUUUCAGGUCAAGGUGCAGCUUAUUUUUAAGUGAAUGAUGGAUUACAUUUUUAUUUGUUUUUGGAUUAUUGAUUUUAAUAUUGAUAUGAAAUUGGAUUUGGUUGUAAUUGUUUGCAGAUUGUUAUUAUGAUAUUGGUUCUGGGAUAUGCACACAUCGCCCGUCGCUCUCGUUUUUGUUAAUGAGAUAAGUCGUAACAAAGUGGUUGUACCGGAAGGUGCAGCUGGAUUGAU